AAUAGAUACCCCGGUAGUCCACGCCGUAAACGUUGGAUACUAGGUGUGGCGGUUAUACCAAUGACUGCCGUGCCGAAGCUAACGCAUUAAGUAUCCCGCCUGGGGAGUACGGCCGCAAGGCUAAAACUCAAAGGAAUUGACGGGUCCCCGCACAAGCGGCGGAGCAUGCGGCUUAAUUCGAUGCAGCCCGAAGAACCUUACCUGGGUUUGACAUCACGGGAAAAGCUGUAGAAAUACAGUGUCCGUAAGGGCCCGUGACAGGUGGUGCAUGGCUAUCGUCAGCUCGUGUCGUGAGAUGUUGGGUUAAGUCCCGCAACGAGCGCAACCCUUGUCCUAUGUUGCCAGCAGUACGGCUGGGGACUCGUAGGAGACUGCCGGGGAUAACUCGGAGGAAGGUCGAGGACGACGUCAAGUCAUCAUGCCCCUUAUAUCCAGGGCUGCACGCAUGCUACAAUGGCCGGUACAACGGGCAGCGACCCCGCGAGGGUGAGCGAAUCCUAUAAAGCCGGUCCCAGUUCGGAUUGAAGU
This 528-nucleotide ribosomal RNA is filed under the name uncultured bacterium. RNAcentral's name for it is "bacterial SSU rRNA". It matches the Rfam family "Bacterial small subunit ribosomal RNA", at positions 777 to 1304 of the family's 1533-position model. The record is from RNAcentral.